This is a long non-coding RNA of Corapipo altera (White-ruffed manakin), 570 nucleotides long. RefSeq lists it as uncharacterized. The record is from RefSeq and is a predicted model, not a curated record. Lineage: Eukaryota; Metazoa; Chordata; Aves; Passeriformes; Pipridae. The transcript has 3 exons.
UGUGGGAGAGGUUGCAGGAUACCUCAUUCCACCAGGGCUCUGCCUCAGUGCCAAUUUUGCUUAAGGAGGAGGAAUUCCUUGAGCUGAAAUAGAUUUCACUGAAGAGAAUGUUACUGCCCAGACAGGGCCAGCUCUACCCACCCUGAGUUCUGUAAGGACUGAGCUACUGGGUUCAGCUGUUGGAAUUUUAAGAGAUUCACGUGCUGAUGAGAACUCAGCAGGACCUAUGGGAACGUGUCUCUUGCUUUCUGGUCCCUGGUAUGGGCAGCAGCUGGGAAUCUUCUGUUUUCCUGUAAAAUGGAUCCAGAGGGCUUCAGGGUGGAAAUGGAGCAUGGAAACCUGGGAAUCUGGGAGACCCUGGCUCCCGACUGUAAGUUCAUGAAAAGCAUCGCUGUCAGUGACAGACCUGUGUCUGCUCACCCCCCACUCCUCCUCGGGAUCUCGGUGUAACACUUCCCGCACUCCAGGAACAGCCUGUGUUGUGCUCCUCGCUGGAAGCAGCCCCGCCAGUCCUUUCCAGCUCUCCCGGUGCCUGGCUGAGGGGGUGUGCUGUGCCGGUGGGAGGGUCCU